UACGGGGGGGGCAAGCGUUGUUCGGAAUUACUGGGCGUAAAGGGCUCGUAGGCGGCCAACUAAGUCAUACGUGAAAUCCCUCGGCUUAACCGGGGAACUGCGUCUGAUACUGGAUGGCUUGAGUUCGGGAGAGGGAUGCGGAAUUCCAGGUGUAGAGGUGAAAUUCGUAGAUAUUCGCAAGAACACCAGUGGCGAAGGCGGCUCACUGGCCCGGUACUGACGCUGAGGUGCGAAAGCGUGGGGAGCGAACAGG
Molecule: ribosomal RNA, 253 nt
Filed under: uncultured bacterium
Lineage: Bacteria
Description: partial 16S ribosomal RNA
Rfam family: Bacterial small subunit ribosomal RNA
Source: RNAcentral